This is a long non-coding RNA of Lemur catta (Ring-tailed lemur), 1179 nucleotides long. RefSeq lists it as uncharacterized. The transcript has 3 exons. Lineage: Eukaryota; Metazoa; Chordata; Mammalia; Primates; Lemuridae. The record is from RefSeq and is a predicted model, not a curated record.
ACUGAUUGGCGUGAGGCAGAGGAUGUGCUUCCCAGUGGCAGGCAGCUGCGUGGAGCCAGCCUGGACCGUGUCAGGUACAGCUUAUCGUUUGUCAAUCCCAUCUCAAUCAAGCGGUAUUUAAAAAAUUUAAAACAGAAUGACCGAUGCUUUUCCUCUCCUCUCCUCAUCACUAUCCUCAAGGGAUACCUGUGCAUCGAGAAUGCAACUGAAGUGAUAUACAAGCUCAUCAAAAGGCCUUGCAACUUCUGCUUGUACUCUGUUGCUGCUCUGAGUCCACCAUGUAAAGAUGUGUGUCCAUCAUGUAAAGAUGUGUGAGAUAGCCUUCUUGAGAAUGAGAGAUUAUAUGGAGAUGGAAUCUAGGUGACAGUAAGCACCAACCAUCGGACAUGAGGGAGGUCAUCUUGGACCACCUGGCCCAUGCCAAGCCAACAGAUGGUUGUAGCUACAUGAAUAAUUUCAUCUUAAAAUCACCAGAAGAACCACCCAGCUGAGCCCAGAGCAAAGUGCUGAUAUACAAACUCAUGAACAAAUAAAAUGGUGGUUAUGUUAAGCCAAUCAAUUUUUGGGUGGGUUGUUCUGCAGAAAUAGCUAAGUGAGAUCAUUAUCUAUCAUUUAUAAAGAAUUCUACUGAUAAAAGUAAGCAGCCUGACUACAAAAUGGACAAGCAAGUCACAAAGCAAGAAACACAAUGUCUGUUGACUUGAUUCAAAGAUGGAGGAGGCUUGUUGAUGGAUUGGAACUAGGACUUGGACUCUACAGUCAGUCUGAGUGGAUUCCUGGUUCCCUGCCACCACAACUAUGUGGCCUUGGAUAAGUACCUAAAUCUCUACAGUCCUCAAUUUCCUCAUCUAUGAAAUAGGUAUAUAAAUGCUUUCUGUCUCACAGGCUCAUUGUAACUUUACUUGUAUUAACUACAAAUAAAUUAUGCUUUUGCUUCUACUACUGUAAGUGGCUCUGAUGAACUCUUGAAUCCAAAGCAGUGAAUACAAGAAGCUAACUGUUUUAUAGAAGGCAGUAGAGGAAUAAAAGAGGGAAGGUGCUCAUAAAGAUGGCAGUUAGGAGAUAGAGAACAAAGACAUUUCAUUACAUUUCAGACUUUGUUUUGCUUUAAUGUUAUUGUAAAAAUAAUAAAUUUGGUGUUUUAUAUGAUACUUGCUUAAAUUUCACUGCCUUAAUAGU